UCUGUCACUCAGGCUGGAGUGAAGUGGUGCAAUCACAGUUCACUGAAACCUUGAACUCCUGGGUACAAGGAAUCCUCCUGUCUGGAACUACAGGAAGAAGAUGAUUUUUCACCUAGUGGAGUCAUUGAACAGUGGUCUUCAAAUUGGGAUUAUUUCCAAGAAUAGAUUAAAAUGCCAUGAAAAAGAAAAAAUUAUAGAAAAGCAAAAAGAGCUGAAUGCAGUGAAUGAACAUCUGUGAAUGAAGUUGAGAAGGUAUAUGUGGUGUUUUUACUUACAGGGGCAGACUAGAAUUGCAGUGCACAGAUACAAGAAUGUUGCCUGCUUUGGAGCCAAGACUGCCUUCCGGAUAAAGGGCCCACAGAGAGCUGAGAGCUGUGUAAUACCUCAAAGACUGAAGAAAAGAGUUAGACAGCCAUCUUUCCUUAGAGGAUUUUGCUGCAGACAGCUUGAACUACCAGAAGGUUAUAUACUGACCAUGGGUAGAGUAAGGAAGAAAUACAUCCUUCGGAAAGGACAAUGAAGAUCUUUACAGCAGGGUGAGUAAACAGGCCAGUGUAAGUCGCUAAGCAAGAAUGCCACUUGCUAGGUGGUAUACAGUUGCUCAGUGUAUCACACACACACACACACACACAAACAAAUAUUAGUUACACCUCUGAGAUGGGAUUCAUAAACAUUUAAAAGUUUACACAAUGUUUAGAUAACACUGACCAUCAAACCCUUAAUAAUUUGUUUUGCUUUGCAGUCCCACAGGUCUAUGCCCAUCUAUUCAUUUUAGCAUCUGUUUUAUGUUUCAUAAUUACCUUUUAAAAUUUCUGUCUCCCCUUUGUGCUAUGAGGUCGUUUCAGCACUUAGGUGAGAAUCUGAAAUUGUAAAGAUAGUUCAAUUACAUUUUCGUUGUUAAUAUAGGCGGGGUAAAGUAAAAGUGCUGUAUUAGCUCAGAGGAGCAAAAAACAGUAUAAUCAAAUAGAUCUGUAGAUACCAGAAUUUUAAAAUUCUUCCUUCAGGAACUUUAAUGCCAUUUAAAAAUAUUUAUUGUGGAAUAUGUUAGACUUUGAGUCAUAGUGAUUUUUACCUCCUAACAUAAAGCUAAUUUUUACUGGAUUUCUUCUGAUAAUGAUGGUUAAGUGUGCAAGAGAUGGUAUCAGUCUAUUCAGCGUAUUAUUGAGAAUCCCCUCACUCUCCUUAAAUGAAUGGCUUAAGCAGCAGAUGUUCUAUACCCUAAAAGAUGCCAUGGCACGUCUCAGGUAAGAGCUGUCCUUGGAGUUGAAUGUUAUUUAUUACUAUGUAGGUACUAGAGAUUCAGAAACUUAAUGAUUUUUUUUCCUAACAGAAACUCUUUUUUCGCACUAUGAAUAAUUUACUGUUCUUUCUUCUUUGAACUCAACUGUAGAAUUGCGCAUAGA
Molecule: long non-coding RNA, 1403 nt
Filed under: Homo sapiens (human)
Lineage: Eukaryota; Metazoa; Chordata; Mammalia; Primates; Hominidae
Description: HSALNT0114294
Source: RNAcentral